GACGAACGCUGGCGGCGUGCUUAACACAUGCAAGUCGAACGGAAAGGCCCUGCUUUUGUGGGGUGCUCGAGUGGCGAACGGGUGAGUCACGCGUGAGUAACCUGCCCUUGACUUUGGGAUAACUUCAGGUAACUGGGGCUAAUACCGGAUAGGAGCUCUUGCUGCAUGGUGGGGGUUGGAAAGUUUCGGCGGUUGGGGAUGGACUCGCGGUCUAUCAGCUUGUUGGUGGGGUAGUGGCUUACCAAGGCUUUGACGGGUAGCCGGCCGGGGAGGGUGACCGGCCACAAUUGGACUGGGAAACGGCCCAGGCUCCUACGGGAGGCAGGAGGGGGGAAUAUUGGACAAUGGGCGCAAGCCUGAUGCAGCGACCCCGCGUGGGGGAUGACGGCCUUCGGGUUGUAAACUCCUUUCGCAAUCGACGAAGCCUUUUGGUGACGGUAGGUGGAGAAGAAGCACCGGCUAACUACGUG
This 470-nucleotide ribosomal RNA is filed under the name uncultured bacterium. Its description in RNAcentral is "partial 16S ribosomal RNA". It matches the Rfam family "Bacterial small subunit ribosomal RNA", at positions 28 to 507 of the family's 1533-position model. The record is from RNAcentral.